GUAGGUGGCAAGCGUUGUCCGGAAUUAUUGGGGCGUAAAGCGCGCGCAGGCGGUUCUUUAAGUCUGAUGUGAAAGCCCGCGGGCUCAACCGUGGAGGGUCAUUGGAAACUGGAGAACUUGAGUACAGAAAGAGGAAAGCGGAAUUCCACGUGUAGCGGUGAAAUGCGUAGAGAUGUGGAGGAACACCAGUGGCGAAGGCGGCUUUCUGGUCUGUAACUGACGCUGAGGCGCGAAAGCGUGGGGAGCAAACAGGAUUAGAUACCCUGGUAGUCCACGCCGUAAACGAUGAGUGCUAAGUGUUAGGGGGUUUCCGCCCCUUAGUGCUGCAGCUAACGCAUUAAGCACUCCGCCUGGGGAGUACGGCCGCAAAGGCUG
Molecule: ribosomal RNA, 375 nt
Filed under: uncultured organism
Description: partial 16S ribosomal RNA
Rfam family: Bacterial small subunit ribosomal RNA
Source: RNAcentral